RNAcentral lists this ribosomal RNA (277 nucleotides) under uncultured Bordetella sp. RNAcentral describes it as "partial 16S ribosomal RNA". It matches the Rfam family "Bacterial small subunit ribosomal RNA", at positions 504 to 780 of the family's 1533-position model. The record is from RNAcentral. Lineage: Bacteria; Pseudomonadati; Pseudomonadota; Betaproteobacteria; Burkholderiales; Alcaligenaceae.
UGUGCCAGCAGCCGCGGUAAUACGUAGGGUGCAAGCGUUAAUCGGAAUUACUGGGCGUAAAGCGUGCGCAGGCGGUUCGGAAAGAAAGAUGUGAAAUCCCAGAGCUUAACUUUGGAACUGCAUUUUUAACUACCGGGCUAGAGUGUGUCAGAGGGAGGUGGAAUUCCGCGUGUAGCAGUGAAAUGCGUAGAUAUGCGGAGGAACACCGAUGGCGAAGGCAGCCUCCUGGGAUAACACUGACGCUCAUGCACGAAAGCAUGGGGAGCAAACAGGAUUA